This 569-nucleotide ribosomal RNA is filed under the name Saccharomyces cerevisiae (brewer's yeast). RNAcentral's name for it is "eukaryotic LSU rRNA". It matches the Rfam family "Eukaryotic large subunit ribosomal RNA", at positions 73 to 657 of the family's 3401-position model. The record is from RNAcentral. Lineage: Eukaryota; Fungi; Ascomycota; Saccharomycetes; Saccharomycetales; Saccharomycetaceae.
UUGCCCUUAGUAACGGCGAGUGAAGCGGCAAAAGCUCAAAUUUGAAAUCUGGUACCUUCGGUGCCCGAGUUGUAAUUUGGAGAGGGCAACUUUGGGGCCGUUCCUUGUCUAUGUUCCUUGGAACAGGACGUCAUAGAGGGUGAGAAUCCCGUGUGGCGAGGAGUGCGGUUCUUUGUAAAGUGCCUUCGAAGAGUCGAGUUGUUUGGGAAUGCAGCUCUAAGUGGGUGGUAAAUUCCAUCUAAAGCUAAAUAUUGGCGAGAGACCGAUAGCGAACAAGUACAGUGAUGGAAAGAUGAAAAGAACUUUGAAAAGAGAGUGAAAAAGUACGUGAAAUUGUUGAAAGGGAAGGGCAUUUGAUCAGACAUGGUGUUUUGUGCCCUCUGCUCCUUGUGGGUAGGGGAAUCUCGCAUUUCACUGGGCCAGCAUCAGUUUUGGUGGCAGGAUAAAUCCAUAGGAAUGUAGCUUGCCUCGGUAAGUAUUAUAGCCUGUGGGAAUACUGCCAGCUGGGACUGAGGACUGCGACGUAAGUCAAGGAUGCUGGCAUAAUGGUUAUAUGCCGCCCGUCUUGA